This 229-nucleotide long non-coding RNA is filed under the name Piliocolobus tephrosceles (Ugandan red Colobus). RNAcentral describes it as "lncRNA (ENSPTEG00000010196.1)". The record is from RNAcentral. Lineage: Eukaryota; Metazoa; Chordata; Mammalia; Primates; Cercopithecidae.
CUUUCAAUGAGUACAGACUCCAAGACAUGGAAUCAGAGAGCAGAAGAAUCAGAGAUCACCUUACACCUUUUCUAUUUGACAGGCUACUGAUGGAGCAGGAGAAAACGCUGGAACAACUGUGGUUAGAAGUAAUAGCAGGGAGCCCUGCACCAAGGAAGACACAGAAGAAAACCCUCAGCUCCAGAAACAGGAAUCCAAAACUUGCCCAGGCAGCAAAGCCACCCCUGAG